CCUACGGGGGGCUGCAGUGGGGAAUAUUGGACAAUGGGGGGAACCCUGAUCCAGCCAUGCCGCGUGUGUGAAGAAGGCCCUCGGGUUGUAAAGCACUUUCAGUGAGGAAGAACGCCUGGUGGUUAAUACCCAUCAGGAAAGACAUCACUCACAGAAGAAGCACCGGCUAACUCCGUGCCAGCAGCCGCGGUAAUACGGAGGGUGCGAGCGUUAAUCGGAAUUACUGGGCGUAAAGCGCGCGUAGGUGGCUUGAUAAGCCGGUUGUGAAAGCCCCGGGCUCAACCUGGGAACGGCAUCCGGAACUGUCCAGCUAGAGUGCAGGAGAGGAAGGUAGAAUUCCCGGUGUAGCGGUGAAAUGCGUAGAGAUCGGGAGGAAUACCAGUGGCGAAGGCGGCCUUCUGGACUGACACUGACACUGAGGUGCGAAAGCGUGGGUAGCAAACAGGAUUAGAUACCCUGGUAGUC
RNAcentral lists this ribosomal RNA (465 nucleotides) under Vreelandella stevensii. RNAcentral describes it as "partial 16S ribosomal RNA". It matches the Rfam family "Bacterial small subunit ribosomal RNA", at positions 338 to 795 of the family's 1533-position model. The record is from RNAcentral. Lineage: Bacteria; Pseudomonadati; Pseudomonadota; Gammaproteobacteria; Oceanospirillales; Halomonadaceae.